Non-coding RNA from Rattus norvegicus (Norway rat), 465 nucleotides. The record is from RefSeq and is a predicted model, not a curated record. Lineage: Eukaryota; Metazoa; Chordata; Mammalia; Rodentia; Muridae.
UUUUUCAUGUUUUUUGUCAGCUUUGUGGUAACCCUGGCUAGAUAGAACAUAGCUGUUAAUCCAAAGGUACCUGCUGGUUAUGCUGAACAUGGCAGCAGAAGAGGAAUGGGAUGGUUUAAACCAGCGGUAGUUUUACCACAAUCCAGGUGGUUCUUCUGAUAUAAGACAGAGAUUUUGAAUUUCCCUCUAACAAGCAUGCAUGGGUUGAGACAAGGAGAGAGCCACAUUCCAACAUCAAAGUCGGCUUCAUUUUUAUUUGAAUUGCAGCCACAGAGAGACCACUUGCCAGUUUUACUUGUAGUGGGCAGCAAUACUGUUUGUCCGGUGUAUUCAUUUUCUAGGGGCAUAAUCUCCUGAUGAACCAUCCUUUUUCAUCAGAUGUUUCACUUAUCUAGUGGUUUCCACAUUCCUUAGUUCGUUGAUUUUUAUUCUUUGGUAGACAUAAAAACAAAUGCCCAAAUCAUC